RNAcentral lists this transfer RNA (68 nucleotides) under Marmota monax (woodchuck). RNAcentral's name for it is "tRNA.Ala". It matches the Rfam family "tRNA". From Rfam's summary of the family: Transfer RNA (tRNA) molecules are approximately 80 nucleotides in length. Their secondary structure includes four short double-helical elements and three loops (D, anti-codon, and T loops). Lineage: Eukaryota; Metazoa; Chordata; Mammalia; Rodentia; Sciuridae. The record is from RNAcentral.
GGACUGUGGCUCAGUGGCAGAGCGCUUGCCUAGCAUGCAGGAGGCACUGGGUUCAAUCCCCGGCUCCA